GUUAUUUCAACUUUGCCCUUCAACAUUUUUGUCCGGUUCCUUUUCUUUCCUGCUUUCUGCAGUGAUUCCUUUUCACUGCUUUUGGUCCAAUUUUUUUCCCACUUCUUUUGCUUCGCUUCUUCCGUAGCCGUUUGCUCUCCCCUCUCUUCGCCUCUACUGGUCUCAAAGUGGAUAGUUUUGUGGUGAGUUCUUCUAAUCUUGCAUCUACAAGUUUUUUAUGCAACUGUAUGGAUUGUGUUCUGUUAAAUUUUAGAUGUUAGAAGCUUUUAAUUUUUUUUGGGUUCAAUUUUAAAUGGGUUGUUGCUUUCAGAGUUUUCGUUUGAUGACAGAGAUGGGGUUUUUGGGGAGAAACUUUUAAUCCGUGAGUUUUUUAGUUAGGUUGUGUUGUGGGUCUUGAGAAAUGGAUUUGUAAAUGGAUUUUCUAUUGAAAUUGUUUCUCUUCUCAUUUUUUUUUUGUGCCAUCGGGUUUUGCAUAUGGGUGUAUAAUCAGGUUUUCUUUUGAAUUUCAGGGGAUUCAGGUUUUUAUUUUUCUGGAACUUUUGUCUGCAGCUUUGGAAGACAUUUGUGCUUAAGGUGAGAAACUUUGGUUGCUUGCUUUUGGGUUUUGUUGUAGAAUUAAUUAAUUUUUUUUAAGAGUUACAUUCGUGGGAAUUCUUUUGUUCUUCUUUUUUCCUGCAUCUCAAAAAUGCCACAUAAUGUGAGUUUAUAAUUAAAUAAGAAUAUCAAAAUGGGUUUUCUGUGCAAAUUUUCUUUUUCUGAUUUUAUAGAACCGAAGAGGAUGUUAACAAUAACAUUAUUGUGUGAUAUGCGAUCUAAAGUUCUUUGGUGAGUUAUUUGGUUUUCUUGCCACAUGGGAUUUUAACAUAUUUUUUUUUCGUGGUUUAUGCGUGGUUCUCUGAUAUGUUUUGAUUUUUUAUUUCAGGAAAAGUUAACGAUACGAUCAAACGUUUACUGGUGAAUUUUCUAUUUUUCUGAUUGUGUGUGAUUUAAUUUUUUUCAAGCUUUGGGUGUACUUUUCUGAACUGCUUUGAUUUUUAGUUGCAGCAAAAGUUGUUGCUCGAAUUUUCCAGUUUUUAUCUGCAGCUUUGCAAGCUCUUUAUCAACAAGGUAUAUAAUUUUUAUUCUUUUUCCUGAAUCUUUUGUUGGAUGGAAUCGUUUUUUUUGUUUUUGGUGAGUUCUUCUAAUCUCGCAUCUGGUACUGUUUUUUUUUCCGACUGUAUAGAUUGUGUUUUGUUGAAUUUUAAAUGGUAGAAGCUUCUUGGGUUCAAUUUAAAUGGGUUGUUAUCAACUAUUGAAUUGUUUUCGAAGCUAUUUGGCUACUCCCUUAACGCCCUUUUUCCUUUUCUUUUCAGCUUCUUUGAUUUGCAGCCCCCUUCUUUUUUUUCCUUUUCCAGAUUUAGCUUUUUUCCCCUAUAUUGUAUCUUUUGGCUAAUUUUGUGGGUCUUGGUCAGUGCUGUGGGUAUUGGUGAAUUUCUAGCAUGUUUAUGCAUGCAGUUUUUGUUAUAAUUUAUGGAUUGUGUUUUGUUCAAUUUUUAAAUGUCAGAAGCUCUUAAUUUUUUUGGGUUCAAUUUUAAAUGGGUUGUUAUCAACCAUUGAAUUUCUUUUGGAGUAUUCAUUUGAUAAGAGAGAUGGGGGGGGGGGGGGGUUCUUUUGGGUGAAACUUUUGAUCCGUGAGAUUUUUAGUUAGGUUGUGGUGUGGGUUUUCGCAAAUUUCUAUCGUGUUUAUGCAUGCUUUUUUUUGUUAUAGAUUUGGAAGAACAUAGCAUUACAGGGUGUUGAGGGUUUGCUGGCGGGGGAAAGUAGCAGCGUUAAGAUUUUGCAGGUGAGAUAUUAGGGUGAGAGAAUAACGGGACAAAGAGCAUCGAAGACACAUUUGGGAUUAGGGGUAGCAAAACAGGGGAAAAGAAUAUGACAGAGGAAUGGACUCUUAAUUUUUUUUCUUAACUGGUUUGGGAUUUUGCUUGCCUUUGGGGUCGUUGUUGGCGUCAAGCCAUUUGGUGGUGUUAAGUGGUGUCUGUUUUUUCAUAACUUUUAUUACUAAUUUUUAUGUUGUUUGCGAUUUUGUGUCCUGGGAUUUCUGAAUUUUAUCGUUCAUUGUCGGUUUUUUAAAUUUUUUUUUGUCUUCAUUUGUUUGUUUAAUAUGUUGUGUUUGUCCUGGGACGCCGUUUUGCAAGUUUUCUUUCCAUUGGGACCGCUACAUUUUAUAAGUGAUGCGGGUGAGGUUUAGAUACUCAAAACACUCCAUUUUUUUUUUUUUCCAAACAUGCACGUUUGGUUCUCUUCGGUUUUAAAUGUUUAAAAUUAAAUGGUUAUUUUGAUAAAAUGGUUUAUUAGUUUUUCUUAUGUGUUAUGAUCAGGAAUUCAAUUGGAUUGGGUAAAAUGCUUUAUCAAUUUACACUAUAGGGAAUUUUAUGUAUUAUGGUCUGUGAGUUUUAUUGCUCAUCGUUUGUUCUUUUUUCUUUGUUUGCCGGUUUCUUUUGCAAGGGAUCACAAUAGUUUGGGCAUCUUUUUGAGUUUUAAAUUGCUUGAGGGUAAGAUUUAGAUAAUAAAAUUCGAAACGAGGCGUUACUUUUCUUUUCGGAAACUAAUUUAAAAGCUCUACAUGGAUAGUUAACUGUGUGGAAAUGUCUUGAUAAAACCUGAACCUUUUGUAUAUGUGAAUGUUGAUUCCUUACUACAAAUAUAAUAGGCAUAGUGGUCUAAAAAAUUAAAACCCACCGACACAUGACAUCAGAAAUUCAAUCCAAUUUCUACUGUUACCAUUACCUUCUUUCAUUCAGAUCAUUCAGCAUACAAAUUCAAAUAUCUAGAUCACUCAGAUGAACUUUAGAAAUUGAAAAUUCAAGUGACAGAUUUAUUGUCAUUAUUUCAAUAUAUUUCAAUUAAUUUACAUUGUUUUAGUACCCAGGUUUACAGCAUGAGCUGAAGAUCCAAGAUCAUUUUGGCAGACUUUGAUAUUGAAGACACUAAUUUUGCUCCUUAUUUUGUACUUUAAUGUCCAACUUUUUACAUGUUUUAUACACUUAUAACACCUGCAGCAACACGCAGGCACCAUGACUAGUUAUAUGACUAAAAAGACCCAUGAGGAUCCUCUGGAUUCUCUUUGUAAGGAUCCUCCAAUCAUAUCCAUUCAACGUACAUUAUGCGGUUAUAAAUCAUUGUAAAUUUUUUUUAUUUAAAAUUGAAUAUAAACAGUACUUGACGAAAACUGACUGCACGAUGUAAGAUGAAUAGAUGUGAUUGGAGGAUUCUCAGGAUUCUCACAAAGAUGAUCUGGCGAGAAUCCUCUCUCUAAGAAGACCACAUGUCUUGCCCGUUUAAAAUUUUAAAAAUUGUACCUUCCUAGCACUGUCUGAUCAACGGAUG
This 3366-nucleotide long non-coding RNA is filed under the name Malus domestica (apple). RNAcentral describes it as "long non-coding RNA (MDOM_LNC009734)". The record is from RNAcentral. Lineage: Eukaryota; Viridiplantae; Streptophyta; Magnoliopsida; Rosales; Rosaceae.